RNAcentral lists this ribosomal RNA (633 nucleotides) under uncultured bacterium. RNAcentral describes it as "bacterial SSU rRNA". The stretch from base 1 to 543 matches the Rfam family "Bacterial small subunit ribosomal RNA", at positions 338 to 873 of the family's 1533-position model. The record is from RNAcentral.
CCUACGGGAGGCAGCAGUGGGGAAUCUUGCGCAAUGGACGAAAGUCUGACGCAGCCACGCCGCGUGAGUGAAGAAGGCCUUCGGGUUGUAAAGCUCUGUCGUGUGGGACGAAAAGCAUUAGGGUUAAUAGCCCUAGUGCCUGACGGUACCAUGAAAGGAAGCACCGGCUAACUCCGUGCCAGCAGCCGCGGUAAUACGGAGGGUGCAAGCGUUGCUCGGAAUUAUUGGGCGUAAAGGGCAGGUAGGUGGUCCUAUUUGUCUGGGGUGAAAUCCCUGAGCUUAACUCAGGAAGUGCCUCAGAAACGGUAGGACUAGAGUCUUAGAGAGGUUCGUGGAAUUCCCGGUGUAGCGGUGAAAUGCGUAGAGAUCGGGAGGAACACCAGAGGCGAAGGCGGCGAACUGGAUAAGUACUGACACUCAACUGCGAAAGCGUGGGGAGCAAACAGGAUUAGAUACCCUGGUAGUCCACGCUGUAAACGAUGGGUACUAGGCUUUGUGGGAAUUGACCCCUGCGGNGCGGNGCGACGCGAGUACGUACCCGCCGCGGAGGUACGGUCGGCGAGAACGUAAACUAACUUAANAGUAGUUAGUUACGGCGNGAGACGNGCCGACGGACGACGACGAGGGAGGAGG